GUUUGAUCAUGGCUCAGGACAAACGCUGGCGGCGUGCUUAACACAUGCAAGUCGAACGGUCUCUCUUCGGAGAGAUAGUGGCGGACGGGUGAGUAACACGUAGUUGACCUGCCCCUCGGUGGGGAAUAACUCCUCGAAAGAGGUGCUAAUACCGCAUACGCUCACAGUUGUUGGAUUGUGAGGAAACGCGAGAGUGACCGAGGGAGGGGACUGCGGCGGAUUAGCUAGUUGGUGGGGUAAUGGCCUACCAAGGCGACGAUCCGUAGCUGGUCUGAGAGGACGACCAGCCACACUGGGACUGAGACACGGCCCAGACUCCUACGGGAGGCAGCAGUGAGGAAUAUUCCACAAUGGGCGAAAGCCUGAUGGAGCGACGCCGCGUGCGGGAUGAAGCCCUUUGGGGUGUAAACCGCUUUUUUAGGGGAUGAUACGGCGGGGUUACCCGUCUAAGACAGUACCUUAAGAAUAAGCAUCGGCUAACUACGUUCCAGCAGCCGCGGUAAUACGUAGGAUGCAAGCGUUGUCCGGAUUUACUGGGCGUUAAACGCGCGCAGGCHGCUCUUUAAG
RNAcentral lists this ribosomal RNA (567 nucleotides) under uncultured bacterium. RNAcentral's name for it is "bacterial SSU rRNA". It matches the Rfam family "Bacterial small subunit ribosomal RNA", at positions 11 to 587 of the family's 1533-position model. The record is from RNAcentral.